GACGAACGCUGGCGGCGUGCUUAACACAUGCAAGUCGAACGGUAAGGCCCUUCGGGGUACACGAGUGGCGAACGGGUUAGUAACACGUGGGUGAUCUGCCCUGCACUUCGGGAUAAGCCUGGGAAACUGGGUCUAAUACCGGAUAGGACCACUGCGUGCAUGGGUGGUGGUGGAAAGCUUUUGCGGUGUGGGAUGGCCCCGCGGCCUAUCAGCUUGUUGGUGGGGUGACGGCCGACCAAGGCGACGACGGGUAGCCGGCCUGAGAGGGUGACCGGCCACACUGGGACUGAGAUACGGCCCAGACUCCUACGGGAGGCAGCAGUGGGGAAUAUUGCACAAUGGGCGCAAGCCUGAUGCAGCGACGCCGCGUGAGGGAUGACGGCCUUCGGGUUGUAAACCUCUUUCAGCACCGACGAAGCGCAAGUGACGGUAGGUGCAGAAGAAGGACCGGCCAACUACGUGCCAGCAGCCGCCGUAA
RNAcentral lists this ribosomal RNA (478 nucleotides) under uncultured bacterium. RNAcentral describes it as "partial 16S ribosomal RNA". It matches the Rfam family "Bacterial small subunit ribosomal RNA", at positions 28 to 523 of the family's 1533-position model. The record is from RNAcentral.